Molecule: small nucleolar RNA, 89 nt
Filed under: Nelumbo nucifera (sacred lotus)
Lineage: Eukaryota; Viridiplantae; Streptophyta; Magnoliopsida; Proteales; Nelumbonaceae
Source: RNAcentral
UUCGGCAAAUGAGGAAUCUCAUUUUUAUGGGUAAUUUGCGUCUGAAUAUAUUCGUUGAUGCUAUCACCUUGGAGAUCUGAUGCAUCGUU